RNAcentral lists this ribosomal RNA (113 nucleotides) under Escherichia coli. RNAcentral's name for it is "partial 16S ribosomal RNA". It matches the Rfam family "Bacterial small subunit ribosomal RNA", at positions 1 to 106 of the family's 1533-position model. Lineage: Bacteria; Pseudomonadati; Pseudomonadota; Gammaproteobacteria; Enterobacterales; Enterobacteriaceae. The record is from RNAcentral.
AAAUUGAAGAGUUUGAUCAUGGCUCAGAUUGAACGCUGGCGGCAGGCCUAACACAUGCAAGUCGAACGGUAACAGGAAGAAGCUUGCUUCUUUGCUGACGAGUGGCGGACGGG